This 438-nucleotide ribosomal RNA is filed under the name uncultured bacterium. RNAcentral describes it as "bacterial SSU rRNA". It matches the Rfam family "Bacterial small subunit ribosomal RNA", at positions 28 to 450 of the family's 1533-position model. The record is from RNAcentral.
GAUGAGCGCUGGCGGCGUGCUUAACACAUGCAAGUCGAGCGAAGCAGUUAAGAAGAUUCUUCGGAUGAUUCUUGACUGACUGAGCGGCGGACGGGUGAGUAACGCGUGGGUGACCUGCCCCAUACCGGGGGAUAACAGCUGGAAACGGCUGCUAAUACCGCAUAAGCGCACAGAGCUGCAUGGCUCGGUGUGAAAAACUCCGGUGGUAUGGGAUGGGCCCGCGUCUGAUUAGGCAGUUGGCGGGGCAACGGCCCACCAAACCGACGAUCAGUAGCCGGCCUGAGAGGGCGACCGGCCACAUUGGGACUGAGACACGGCCCAAACUCCUACGGGAGGCAGCAGUGGGGAAUAUUGCACAAUGGGGGAAACCCUGAUGCAGCGACGCCGCGUGAGCGAAGAAGUAUUUCGGUAUGUAAAGCUCUAUCAGCAGGGAAGAUA